AUGGCUCAGAGGUCAAGAGCACUGGCUGGUCUCCAGAGGCCCUGGGUUCAAUCCCCAGU
Molecule: transfer RNA, 59 nt
Filed under: Mesocricetus auratus (golden hamster)
Lineage: Eukaryota; Metazoa; Chordata; Mammalia; Rodentia; Cricetidae
Rfam family: tRNA
About the family: Transfer RNA (tRNA) molecules are approximately 80 nucleotides in length. Their secondary structure includes four short double-helical elements and three loops (D, anti-codon, and T loops).
Source: Rfam by way of RNAcentral